RNAcentral lists this ribosomal RNA (557 nucleotides) under uncultured bacterium. RNAcentral describes it as "partial 16S ribosomal RNA". It matches the Rfam family "Bacterial small subunit ribosomal RNA", at positions 355 to 905 of the family's 1533-position model. The record is from RNAcentral.
UGGGGAAUUUUGGACAAUGGGCGAAAGCCUGAUCCAGCAAUGCCGCGUGUGUGAAGAAGGCCUUCGGGUUGUAAAGCACUUUUGUCCGGAAAGAAAUCCUUGGCUCUAAUACAGUCGGGGGAUGACGGUACCGGAAGAAUAAGCACCGGCUAACUACGUGCCAGCAGCCGCGGUAAUACGUAGGGUGCAAGCGUUAAUCGGAAUUACUGGGCGUAAAGCGUGCGCAGGCGGUUUGCUAAGACCGAUGUGAAAUCCCCGGGCUCAACCUGGGAACUGCAUUGGUGACUGGCAGGCUAGAGUAUGGCAGAGGGGGGUAGAAUUCCACGUGUAGCAGUGAAAUGCGUAGAGAUGUGGAGGAAUACCGAUGGCGAAGGCAGCCCCCUGGGCCAAUACUGACGCUCAUGCACGAAAGCGUGGGGAGCAAAACAGGAUUAGAUACCCUGGUAGUCCACGCCCUAAACGAUGUCAACUAGUUGUUGGGGAUUCAUUCCUUAGUAACGUAGCUAACGCGUGAAGUUGACCGCCUGGGGAGUACGGUCGCAAGAUUAAAACUUAAA